Molecule: ribosomal RNA, 253 nt
Filed under: uncultured bacterium
Lineage: Bacteria
Description: partial 16S ribosomal RNA
Rfam family: Bacterial small subunit ribosomal RNA
Source: RNAcentral
UACGUAGGGACCAAGCGUUGUUCGGAUUUACUGGGCGUAAAGGGCGCGUAGGCGGCGUGACAAGUCACUUGUGAAAUCUCUGGGCUUAACCCAGAACGGCCAAGUGAAACUGUCGUGCUAGAGUGCGGAAGGGGCAAUCGGAAUUCUCGGUGUAGCGGUGAAAUGCGUAGAUAUCAGGAGGAACACCGGUGGCGAAGGCGGGUCUCUGGGCAACAACUGACGCUGAGGAGCGAAAGCGUGGGGAGCGAACAGG